RNAcentral lists this ribosomal RNA (471 nucleotides) under uncultured bacterium. Its description in RNAcentral is "bacterial SSU rRNA". It matches the Rfam family "Bacterial small subunit ribosomal RNA", at positions 445 to 914 of the family's 1533-position model. The record is from RNAcentral.
ACGGUGCGGGCUAAUAUCCUGCACUAAUGACGGUACCUGAAGAAUAAGCACCGGCUAACUACGUGCCAGCAGCCGCGGUAAUACGUAGGGUGCAAGCGUUAAUCGGAAUUACUGGGCGUAAAGCGUGCGCAGGCGGUUUUGCAAGUCUGAUGCGAAAUCCCCGGGCUCAACCUGGGAAUUGCAUUGGAGACUGCAAGGCUAGAAUCUGGCAGAGGGGGGUAGAAUUCCACGUGUAGCAGUGAAAUGCGUAGAGAUGUGGAGGAACACCGAUGGCGAAGGCAGCCCCCUGGGUCAAGAUUGACGCUCAUGCACGAAAGCGUGGGGAGCAAACAGGAUUAGAUACCCUGGUAGUCCACGCCUUAAACGAUGUCUACUAGUUGUCGGGUUUUAAUUAACUUGGUAACGCAGCUAACGCGUGAAGUAGACCGCCUGGGGAGUACGGUCGCAAGAUUAAAACUCAAAGGAAUUGAC